UCUCUCUCUGGAGAUUGCUUCUUGUGAAGUUUCUUGUGAGUGUAGAACACCACGUCUUCCUGUUGAGCAUCAGGACCAAGAAUGCAAAGAAGAACACAAGAAGAGUAAAGAGACAAAAGUGACAAAAGCCUGGAGAGGAUGGGAGGCCCUGGGGAAAAGGACAGUUACGUUCCACAAGGGGGAGAUGCGUAGCAUGUAGCAGAAUGGGAUGAAUACUGUAGAUGAAUCAUUUAAAUCUAAUGGCCUCAUCAUUAUCUGAUGUGAAAUCCACAUUCCUGCCUCCUGCUAGGGAAUAUUGCUGCUAAUCUAAACUGAAGCUAAUCUUGGGAUGCUUUUGUGCUUGAAGGGCUAUCUCAAUAAAUUUUGAAAGUGGGGUUUGUAUGCAGGCUAGUUAUUUUUCUACGAUUAAUCAUUUCUUCUAGUUGUAGUAAAUAUUCCACGACUUGAGAGAUAGAAUGAUAAGUAUUUGCAUUAAUCAGAAAAUAUAAUGAGUAAUGAACUGUUUUAUACCAAACCACCUUUUAGUUUGUUGUUACGGAGAACAUAAAAUACUGACAUUAAUGACAACAAAUCUCAUUUAAUUUUAUAAAUACUAAUAUUAGUAAAUAACCCAUUUACUGUAUCAGGUGAAGUACUUACUCAGUUGAAGCACACAGCAUGUUGUGUGCCCAAUAGUGGGUUUUUGUCUAUCCAGGUCACUGGAAAUAAGAGUUCAUUGGAAUUCAAUUUCAUCUACUAUGUUUGUAACCAUCUGAUGUUAAAUAUUAUAUUACCAAAAAGUACAUUUAUACCAAGUUAUUUAUAACCUUGUAAUCCUUGUAAAUCACAAAGAUCAAGAGUCAACUUAAAUAUUAUUUAAUAGCUGGUGUACAUGAUAGGAGUUAUUUUGCCUACUCUAUGAAAUUACUACAGUAGUGUAGACUUACUAUGUAGUCCGAUGUUAGGUUCCUCAAACCCAAAAAGAUAUCAAGGAAUAUCAUAAAGGUCAAUAAAUUGUAUAGAUUUUUGCAGCGUGAACCAACUAGGAGAUCAAAACAAGUAUUGGCAGUGGUAAUUCCUGAUUUUGUUUUUGAUCAGCAUUUGUAUUGACAUGAAACUACACAAACUGGGGUGCUGUAGUGAAUGUAAGAGAUUUCAUACCUGUUCUAAUAUGUAAGACUAAAGAUUAGGACUGAUAAAUUGAAUUCUAUGUAUUAGAGUCCUUACAGUGUUAAUUGCAAUGAGAGUGGGAUGGUAAUGAUAAUAACUGAAACAGCAUAAACAGAUUAAAAACUGUUACAGCAGCAGGUAACAUGCUAUCUUUUUAUGAAAAUGUAACAUUUACAAUAAAAAAUGAUCUU
This is a long non-coding RNA of Gallus gallus (chicken), 1340 nucleotides long. Lineage: Eukaryota; Metazoa; Chordata; Aves; Galliformes; Phasianidae. The record is from Ensembl.